UCAUCUAUAGAUACGUCAGCA
Molecule: non-coding RNA, 21 nt
Filed under: Caenorhabditis elegans
Lineage: Eukaryota; Metazoa; Nematoda; Chromadorea; Rhabditida; Rhabditidae
Source: RNAcentral